This 433-nucleotide ribosomal RNA is filed under the name uncultured bacterium. Its description in RNAcentral is "partial 16S ribosomal RNA". It matches the Rfam family "Bacterial small subunit ribosomal RNA", at positions 29 to 507 of the family's 1533-position model. The record is from RNAcentral.
AACGAACGCUGGCGGCAUGCCUAACACAUGCAAGUCGAACGAGACCUUCGGGUCUAGUGGCGCACGGAUGCGUAACGCGAGGGAACCUUCCCUUAGGUUCGGAAUAACUCCCCGAAAGGGGUGCUAAUACCGGAUAAUGUCUUCGGACCAAAGAUUUAUCGCCUUUGGAUGUGCCCGCGUUGGAUUAGCUAGUUGGUAGGGUAAAAGCCUACCACGGCGACGAUCCAUAGCUGGUCUGAGAGGAUGAUCAGCCACACUGGUACUGAGACACGGCCCAGACUCCUACGGGAGGCAGCAGUGGGUGAUAUUGGACAAUGGGCGAAAGCCUGAUCCAGCAAUGCCGCGUGAGUGAUGAAGGCCUUAGGGUCGCAAAGCUCUUUUACACGGGAUGAUAAUGACAGUACCGGGAGAAUAAGCUCCGGCUAACUACGUG